This 45-nucleotide non-coding RNA is filed under the name Schistosoma mansoni. Lineage: Eukaryota; Metazoa; Platyhelminthes; Trematoda; Strigeidida; Schistosomatidae. The record is from RNAcentral.
AUCCAAAUUACGGGUCCCAAAUAGGACGAAACGCGUGUCAUGGAU